Molecule: non-coding RNA, 29 nt
Filed under: Rattus norvegicus (Norway rat)
Lineage: Eukaryota; Metazoa; Chordata; Mammalia; Rodentia; Muridae
Source: RNAcentral
UCGGAGUGUUUUGUAUACUUGUGUUCCAU